GUUCGAGCGUCAUUUCAACCCUCAAGCACUGCUUGGUAUUGGGCGUCACUACCUAAGUGUGCCCUAAAAUUAGUGGCGGCGCCCAUUCGGCUUCCAGCGUAGUAAAUUUCUCGCUGUGGAAACGUAUUGUGCUCCCUGUCAGCAACCCCUAAAUUUUCAAGGUUGACCUCGGAUCAGGUAGGGAUACCCGCUGAACUUAA
This 200-nucleotide unclassified non-coding RNA is filed under the name soil metagenome. Its description in RNAcentral is "partial contains internal transcribed spacer 2 and large subunit ribosomal RNA". The record is from RNAcentral.